RNAcentral lists this ribosomal RNA (301 nucleotides) under uncultured bacterium. RNAcentral describes it as "partial 16S ribosomal RNA". It matches the Rfam family "Bacterial small subunit ribosomal RNA", at positions 509 to 809 of the family's 1533-position model. The record is from RNAcentral.
CAGUAGCCGCGGUAAUACGAAGGGGGCUAGCGUUGCUCGGAAUUACUGGGCGUAAAGGGCGCGUAGGCGGCGCUCCAAGUUAGGCGUGAAAUUCCCGGGCUCAACCUGGGGACUGCGCUUAAGACUGGAGUGCUUGAGGAUGGAAGAGGGUUGUGGAAUUCCCAGUGUAGAGGUGAAAUUCGUAGAUAUUGGGAAGAACACCGGUGGCGAAGGCGGCAACCUGGUCCAUUACUGACGCUGAGGCGCGAUAGCGUGGGGAGCAAACAGGAUUAGAUACCCCCGUAGUCCUGUCUCUUAUACA